RNAcentral lists this long non-coding RNA (405 nucleotides) under Sinocyclocheilus anshuiensis. Its description in RNAcentral is "lncRNA (ENSSANG00000021454.1)". The record is from RNAcentral. Lineage: Eukaryota; Metazoa; Chordata; Actinopteri; Cypriniformes; Cyprinidae.
ACGUUUUAGUGUUGAAUGCCUUUAAAUGCCUGUAAACUGGAUGUUUAACUGUUUUACAGGGUGAAGUUGGUGAUCAGGGUUACCCAGGACCACAGGGACCCCCAGGGCCAAAGGGUGAGCAGGGAGAGCCAGGUCCUCAGGGUGACCGAGGAACCGAUGGUCUGCCAGGCUUGAAGGGAGAUGUUGGAGAACAAGGGCCCCAGGGUGAACCGGGCCGCCCUGGUGAAAAAGGCACAUCAGGAUCCGGUGAUAUCAUUGACUUCAAUGGCAAACUCUUAGAUGCCUUUCAGGGACCACCUGGCCCUCCUGGACCCCCGGGACCACCCGGAAAAGAAGGUUCAAAGGUGAAUAUCGAAAUCUGCUGAACUCCUAAUGAGUGGCUCAGAGUGUGUUGUUUCCAUGAUU